This 506-nucleotide long non-coding RNA is filed under the name Salvator merianae (Argentine black and white tegu). RNAcentral's name for it is "lncRNA (ENSSMRG00000020976.1)". The record is from RNAcentral. Lineage: Eukaryota; Metazoa; Chordata; Lepidosauria; Squamata; Teiidae.
AAUACAGCUCAGCUUGGUCAUAUAAUUGUCUUUACCACCACACCUCAGCUAGGUUUGCACUGACACAGUGUUCCUAGUCUUCAAAUUAAUCAGGUGACCUUUGAGCCUAGGUGGAGCCAGGUAUUAAAAGAAUGUUUUCAAACCGGAAAUAAUGAUAGGGACGCAUGAAAAGUCAAUAAAAAGUCUCUUUACGAUUUGCAAAUUUGCCCUCCUCCUGUAAUACUGGCCUUUUCUGGUCUCUGAUUGGUAGGUAAAUAUGUGAAAUAUUAUGGCUUUGUAUGCAUAAGUGAAGAAGAAUUACUGCAAGACCCACAAGAAAGAAGCAGCAGCCACUGGGACGCUUUCACUUUUGGCUGUGAUCUUUUUUUCCUCAGAUGUGGAACCCUAACCAAGGAAUGCCUGGUGGAAUACCACCUCAGCAACCCUGCCCCCCUGUUCCUGGACCAUAUCCUGGGCCAGGCAUGCCGGCAUACCCAGCCNCAGGUUAUCCUGGUGCUCCUCCUCCA